GCCAAGCUAGCCAAGUCGGUCACGGCGCGUGUCUGAAAAACACGAGAUUCAGGUUCGAUUCCUGAGCUUGGCA
RNAcentral lists this transfer RNA (73 nucleotides) under Patescibacteria group bacterium. RNAcentral's name for it is "tRNA-Phe". It matches the Rfam family "tRNA". From Rfam's summary of the family: Transfer RNA (tRNA) molecules are approximately 80 nucleotides in length. Their secondary structure includes four short double-helical elements and three loops (D, anti-codon, and T loops). Further hydrogen bonds mediate the characteristic L-shaped molecular structure. tRNAs have two regions of fundamental functional importance: the anti-codon, which is responsible for specific mRNA codon recognition, and the 3' end, to which the tRNAs corresponding amino acid is attached (by aminoacyl-tRNA synthetases). tRNAs cope with the degeneracy of the genetic code in two manners: having more than one tRNA (with a specific anti-codon) for a particular amino acid; and 'wobble' base-pairing, i.e. permitting non-standard base-pairing at the 3rd anti-codon position. The record is from RNAcentral.